UCGAGCGGGCGUAGCAAUACGUCAGCGGCAGACGGGUGAGUAACGCGUGGGAACGUACCUUUUGGUUCGGAACAACACAGGGAAACUUGUGCUAAUACCGGAUAAGCCCUUACGGGGAAAGAUUUAUCGCCGAAAGAUCGGCCCGCGUCUGAUUAGCUAGUUGGUAGGGUAACGGCCUACCAAGGCGACGAUCAGUAGCUGGUCUGAGAGGAUGAUCAGCCACAUUGGGACUGAGACACGGCCCAAACUCCUACGGGAGGCAGCAGUGGGGAAUAUUGGACAAUGGGGGCAACCCUGAUCCAGCCAUGCCGCGUGAGUGAUGAAGGCCCUAGGGUUGUAAAGCUCUUUUGUGCGGGAAGAUAAUGACGGUACCGCAAGAAUAAGCCCCGGCUAACUUCGUGCCAGCAGCCGCGGUAAUACGAAGGGGGCUAGCGUUGCUCGGAAUCACUGGGCGUAAAGGGUGCGUAGGCGGGUCUUUAAGUCAGGGGUGAAAUCCUGGAGCUCAACUCCAGAACUGCCUUUGAUACUGAAGAUCUUGAGUUCGGGAGAGGUGAGUGGAACUGCGAGUGUAGAGGUGAAAUUCGUAGAUAUUCGCAAGAACACCAGUGGCGAAGGCGGCUCA
This 622-nucleotide ribosomal RNA is filed under the name Bradyrhizobium japonicum. RNAcentral's name for it is "bacterial SSU rRNA". It matches the Rfam family "Bacterial small subunit ribosomal RNA", at positions 62 to 728 of the family's 1533-position model. Lineage: Bacteria; Pseudomonadati; Pseudomonadota; Alphaproteobacteria; Hyphomicrobiales; Nitrobacteraceae. The record is from RNAcentral.